AGAGUGAGCUGUUUUUAUGUUCCAGCCACAUUUCCGGUUCUAGUUCCCAGGACAAUCCGCCGUCAGUUGUUUUAAAUUGUUUUUAAUUUGAUGCUUGCACACCUAGGACACGUUAUUUCAGAAUCCUAGUGAUAUUAUAUGUGCUUAUUCAUUCAACACCCACUGAAACUAAACCAUUUGUGGAAGAGUUCCAAGUCAAAGCAAAUGAACCAAAUCUGCAUUGUGUUUACAUCAAUUUGAGCACAAACUUACGGUAGAGCUGAGACAUGUUCUCAACAACCUUAAUUGAUCAAGAGAUUGGUUGCAGCAAAACCCAGUAUACACCAUGGAGACCAAGCAGUUCGUGAACCACCUGCUUUUGUGGAUUUCCUGAAACUCGUGGGGAACGGGAGAGUCCUUGGAGCCGCGGUCCAUCUCCCUUACUCGUGAGACAGAUGAAUACCGCGAAGGUUGCCGUUCCGCUCGCCAUCGGUGAACAUUCUGUCAUGGGCCUUCGCGUGGGCGUAGCACACCGCUGAUGCGUGAGCCACAGGCUACGCGAGUCUGAUUGGGGCCCGACGCGAACCCGGAGCUCAGCCGCCCCCACACUUCCCCCGGCCUCGCUCGUUUACAAAAGGUGCCUCGUCACCGCGUGGGACCAGCUGCGCUCGGUGAUUGCUUGUGACAUCACUACGCAAGCCUGCGGAUAAGACGGUCCACAGCUACCGGGGUUUCCGUGACUCUGCGUUUAAGGGAGGAGCAGAGCGGGAGGAAGAGGGAAAGGCCAUGCAGCUGUUUGGAAUUAGGGGAAGAUGGCGAGGGCUCGCCCAGCGGCACGCAGGAAAUAAAGGAGGCGGGGAGAAGAGCGGGAGACGGACAGCUGUCCCGUCGCAGCCGUCCCGCAGCCCAGGGUACACGAGACGCACCGUGUCUCCUUUUGGGGGGGGACAGGGUGUACUUGGACCUCUGAGUUCCGCCUGGAGCGUCGCAGCAAAGCAGAGCCUCAACCAAGGGCGUCACACAGGCAUUACAGCCGCUAUAACUUUAACUUUUCACCAUGAAACUUUCAGUUACGUGCUUCAAUUUUUUGAGUCCAUUACUUUAGCUAAUAAAUAUUAUUGCGUCAUUG
Molecule: long non-coding RNA, 1108 nt
Organism: Anguilla anguilla (European eel)
Lineage: Eukaryota; Metazoa; Chordata; Actinopteri; Anguilliformes; Anguillidae
Exons: 3
Source: RefSeq, a predicted model, not a curated record